This 72-nucleotide transfer RNA is filed under the name Neotoma lepida (desert woodrat). It matches the Rfam family "tRNA". Rfam says of the family: Transfer RNA (tRNA) molecules are approximately 80 nucleotides in length. The record is from Rfam by way of RNAcentral. Lineage: Eukaryota; Metazoa; Chordata; Mammalia; Rodentia; Cricetidae.
GGGGAUGUAGCUCUGUGGUAAAGUGUUUGCCUAGCAUGUAUGAAGCCCUGGGUUCAAUCCUCAGCAUCUUAG